AAAAGUUAAGUCGUUUAAGUUGUGUGCAAGUGGUAGGAGAGCGUUCUAUUUGCGUCGAAGGUAUACCGACAAGGAGUGCUGGAGCGAAUAGAAGUGAGCAUGCAGGCAUGAGUAGCGAUAAUUAAUGUGAGAAUCAUUAACGCCGUAAACCCAAGGUUUCCUACGCGAUGCUCGUCAUCGUAGGGUUAGUCGGGUCCUAAGCUGAGUCCGAAAGGGGUAAGCGAUGGCAAAUAGGUUAAUAUUCCUAUACCAACAUUAGUGUGCGAUGGAAGGACGCUUAGGGCUAAGGGGGCUAGCGGAUGGAAGUGCUAGUCUAAGGUCGUAGGAGGUUAUACAGGCAAAUCCGUAUAACAAUACUCCGAGAACUGAAAGGCUUUUUGAAGUCUUCGGAUGGAAAGAAGAACCCCUGAUGCCGUCGAGCCAAGAAAAGUUUCUAAGUUUAGCUAAUGUUGCCCGUACCGUAAACCGACACAGGUGGGUGGGAUGAGUAUUCUAAGGCGCGUGGAAGAACUCUCUUUAAGGAACUCUGCAAAAUAGCACCGUAUCUUCGGUAUAAGGUGUGCCUCCCUUUGUAUUAGAAUUCACU
Molecule: ribosomal RNA, 586 nt
Filed under: Campylobacter upsaliensis
Lineage: Bacteria; Pseudomonadati; Campylobacterota; Epsilonproteobacteria; Campylobacterales; Campylobacteraceae
Description: partial 23S ribosomal RNA
Rfam family: Bacterial large subunit ribosomal RNA
Source: RNAcentral